GACGAACGCUGGCGGCGUGCCUAAUACAUGCAAGUCGAGCGGACCUUUCGGGGUCAGCGGCGGACGGGUGAGUAACACGUGGGCAAUCUGCCCGAUACUCUGGGAUAACGCUUGGAAACGAGUGCUAAUACCGGAUGGUCUUCUUGGCCGCAUGGCCGAGAAGGAAAAGACGCGUUCGCGUCGGUGUCGGAUGAGCCCGCGGCGCAUUAGCUAGUUGGUGAGGUAACGGCCCACCAAGGCGACGAUGCGUAGCCGACCUGAGAGGGUGACCGGCCACACUGGGACUGANACACGGCCCAGACUCCUACGGGAGGCAGCAGUAGGGAAUCUUCCACAAUGGGCGAAAGCCUGAUGGAGCAACGCCGCGUGAGUGAUGAAGGCCUUCGGGUUGUAAAACUCUGUCAUUCGGGACGAACCGGAGUCUGAGGAAAUGCAGACUCUCUGACGGUACCGGAGGAGGAAGCCCCGGCUAACUACGUGCCAGCAGCCGCGGUAAUACGUANGGGGCAAGCGUUGUCCGGAUUCACUGGGCGUAAAGCGCGCGCAGGCGGUGAUGUAAGUCUGANGUGAAAACCCGAAGCUCAACUUCGGGACUGCCUUGGAUACUGCGUCACUUGAGGAUAGGAGAGGCAAGGGGAAUUCCACGUGUAGCGGUGAAAUGCGUAGAGAUGUGGAGGAACACCUNGUGGCGAAGGCGCCUUGCUGGCCUAUUUCUGACGCUGAGGCGCGAAAGCGUGGGGGAGCAAACAGGAUUAGAUACCCUGGUAGUCCACGCUGUAAACGAUGAGUGCUAGGUGUAGGUGGGCUCAUACCCAUCUGUGCCGAAGCUAACGCAUUAAGCACUCCGCCUGGGGGNAGUACGGUCGCAAGACUGAAACUCAAAGGAAUUGACGGGGGCCCGCACAAGCAGUGGAGCAUGUGGUUUAAUUCGAAGCAACGCGAAGAACCUUACCAGGACUUGACAUCCCAUAGACCAGUCUAGAGAUAGACCUUCCCUUCGGGGCUGUGGUGACAGGUGGUGCAUGGUUGUCGUCAGCUCGUGUCGUGAGAUGUUGGGUUAAGUCCCGCAACGAGCGCAACCCUUACUUUGUGUUGCCAGCAUUCAGUUGGGCACUCACAAGGGACUGCCGCCGAUAAGGCGGAGGAAGGUGGGGAUGACGUCAAAUCAUCAUGCCCCUUAUGUCCUGGGCUACACACGUGCUACAAUGGGCGGUACAACGGGAUGCGAAGCCGCGAGGUGGAGCCAAACCCUGAAAACCAUUCGUAGUUCGGAUUGUAGGCUGCAACUCGCCUACAUGAAGCCGGAAUUGCUAGUAAUCGCGGAUCAGCAUGCCGCGGUGAAUCCGUUCCCGGGCCUUGUACACACCGCCCGUCACACCACGAGAAUGGGCAACACCCGAAGUCGGUGGGGUAACCUUUACGGGAGCUAGCCGCCGAAGGUGGGGCCUGUGAUUGGGGUG
This 1460-nucleotide ribosomal RNA is filed under the name uncultured bacterium. RNAcentral's name for it is "bacterial SSU rRNA". It matches the Rfam family "Bacterial small subunit ribosomal RNA". The record is from RNAcentral.